Molecule: long non-coding RNA, 311 nt
Filed under: dengue virus type 1
Lineage: Riboviria; Orthornavirae; Kitrinoviricota; Flasuviricetes; Amarillovirales; Flaviviridae
Description: Dengue virus 1 partial sfRNA1
Rfam family: Flavivirus DB element (bases 233-304)
Source: RNAcentral
AAGAAGUCAGGCCGGAUUAAGCCAUAGUACGGUAAGAGCUAUGCUGCCUGUGAGCCCCGUCUAAGGACGUAAAAUGAAGUCAGGCCGAAAGCCACGGCUUGAGCAAACCGUGCUGCCUGUAGCUCCAUCGUGGGGAUGUAAAAACCUGGGAGGCUGCAACCCAUGGAAGCUGUACGCAUGGGGUAGCAGACUAGUGGUUAGAGGAGACCCCUCCCGAAACAUAACGCAGCAGCGGGGCCCAACACCAGGGGAAGCUGUACCCUGGUGGUAAGGACUAGAGGUUAGAGGAGACCCCCCGCAUAACAAUAAAC